RNAcentral lists this ribosomal RNA (253 nucleotides) under uncultured bacterium. RNAcentral describes it as "partial 16S ribosomal RNA". It matches the Rfam family "Bacterial small subunit ribosomal RNA", at positions 524 to 776 of the family's 1533-position model. The record is from RNAcentral.
UACGGAGGGUGCGAGCGUUAAUCGGAAUAACUGGGCGUAAAGGGCACGCAGGCGGGCUUUUAAGUGAGAUGUGAAAUCCCCGGGGUUAACCUGGGAAUAGCAUUUCAGACUGUGAGUCUAGAGUACUUUAGGGAGGGGUAGAAUUCCACGUGUAGCGGUGAAAUGCGUAGAGAUGUGGAGGAAUACCGAAGGCGAAGGCAGCUCCUUGGGAAUGUUCUGACGCUCAUGUGCGAAAGCGUGGGGAGCAAACAGG